This 847-nucleotide ribosomal RNA is filed under the name Pantoea agglomerans. RNAcentral describes it as "bacterial SSU rRNA". It matches the Rfam family "Bacterial small subunit ribosomal RNA", at positions 46 to 885 of the family's 1533-position model. The record is from RNAcentral. Lineage: Bacteria; Pseudomonadati; Pseudomonadota; Gammaproteobacteria; Enterobacterales; Erwiniaceae.
GCCUACAGAUGCAUGUCGAACGGUAGCACAGAGAGCUUGCUCUCGGGUGACGAGUGGCGGACGGGUGAGUAAUGUCUGGGAAACUGCCUGAUGGAGGGGGAUAACUACUGGAAACGGUAGCUAAUACCGCAUAACGUCGCAAGACCAAAGAGGGGGACCUUCGGGCCUCUUGCCAUCAGAUGUGCCCAGAUGGGAUUAGCUAGUAGGUGGGGUAACGGCUCACCUAGGCGACGAUCCCUAGCUGGUCUGAGAGGAUGACCAGCCACACUGGAACUGAGACACGGUCCAGACUCCUACGGGAGGCAGCAGUGGGGAAUAUUGCACAAUGGGCGCAAGCCUGAUGCAGCCAUGCCGCGUGUAUGAAGAAGGCCUUCGGGUUGUAAAGUACUUUCAGCGGGGAGGAAGGUGUUGUGGUUAAUAACCGCAGCAAUUGACGUUACCCGCAGAAGAAGCACCGGCUAACUCCGUGCCAGCAGCCGCGGUAAUACGGAGGGUGCAAGCGUUAAUCGGAAUUACUGGGCGUAAAGCGCACGCAGGCGGUCUGUCAAGUCGGAUGUGAAAUCCCCGGGCUCAACCUGGGAACUGCAUUCGAAACUGGCAGGCUAGAGUCUUGUAGAGGGGGGUAGAAUUCCAGGUGUAGCGGAGAAAUGCGUAGAGAUCUGGAGGAAUACCGGUGGCGAAGGCGGCCCCCUGGACAAAGACUGACGCUCAGGUGCGAAAGCGUGGCGAGCAAACAGGAUUAGAUACCCUGGUAGUCCACGCCGUAAACGAUGUCGACUUGGAGGUUGAGCCCUUAAAGCGUGGCUUCCGGAGCUAACGCGUUAAGUCAAUCGCUUGAGGAGUACGG